This 526-nucleotide ribosomal RNA is filed under the name uncultured bacterium. RNAcentral describes it as "bacterial SSU rRNA". It matches the Rfam family "Bacterial small subunit ribosomal RNA", at positions 984 to 1509 of the family's 1533-position model. The record is from RNAcentral.
ACAUUCAGCGAACUUGGCAGAGAUGCCUUGGUGCCUUCGGGAACGCUGAGACAGGUGCUGCAUGGCUGUCGUCAGCUCGUGUUGUGAAAGUGUUGGGUUAAGUCCCGNAACGAGCGCAACCCUUAUCCUUUGUUGCCAGCGAUUCGGUCGGGAACUCAAAGGAGACUGCCGGUGAUAAACCGGAGGAAGGUGGGGAUGACGUCAAGUCAUCAUGGCCCUUACGAGUAGGGCUACACACGUGCUACAAUGGCGCAUACAAAGAGAAGCGACCUCGCGAGAGCAAGCGGACCUCAUAAAGUGCGUCGUAGUCCGGAUCGGAGUCUGCAACUCGACUCCGUGAAGUCGGAAUCGCUAGUAAUCGUGGAUCAGAAUGCCACGGUGAAUACGUUCCCGGGCCUUGUACACACCGCCCGUCACACCAUGGGAGUGGGUUGCAAAAGAAGUAGGUAGCUUAACCUUCGGGAGGGCGCUUACCACUUUGUGAUUCAUGACUGGGGUGAAGUCGUAACAAGGUAGGCGUAGCGAG